AAGACGGAUGUAAGAAGUGGCUUUGCUGAGUGCACGUGGGGGACAGCAUGUUUGUUGAGGCAAUGUGCAGAAAAAAAAAAAAAAAAAGAAAACCAAUAAUAAAAAGCAGAAAAAAUAAAUGCUGUAUAGCCAGGAAAUUCCAUAAGUUAAAAUUUCUACUUAAACACUAACUCAGCCAAACAGUACAUCCUGUGUAUCUUACAAAGUGGAUUAAAUAAACUUAAGGUUUAAUAAGGAAAACAGAAAGGAUCAGGAAUCUUGGGAAUCCUUUGCUUGUAAAGCUGGACAUAUAACCAGAGUAAUUUUACAUAAACAAUUAGAGGUCACUGAAAAAAUAAUGUUUCAUUUUCUCCUUUUAAUUUUCUCGUCUCCCUUCCCUGCCAACCUCCAAGAAAACGGUGCUUCAGGACCCCAUAGGGGUUCCCACGUGAGCCCACCACCCCAUCUUCAGCUUUCCCUGCCCGUACCGCUGGUCUUGGUGUACACCCGCAGCAGGUCGGAGAGGAAGCUCUUCUUCACAAGAGCGGUGCAUUUCUCCAUGGGGGCUGCGGGACACGGAGCUGCCUCCGCUCCGCUCCGCACUGCUCCCGUUCCUCCGCCGCCGGCUCCGGAUCCCGGCCCGGGCCGCCCCCUCCCCGCCCCUCUCCGCCCCGCGGCCGGGGCUCCGCUGUGGGCACGGGCAGCCGGCAACCUGCGACCACCGAGGGCACCGGGAGCCGGGAAGGGCUCGAGGGGCACGGAGCUGCCCCGCCCCGCAGCGCCGCGCCCGGCUCGUCCCGGGGGAUUUCCCCACCCGCGGGUUCCGGAGGAGCUUUGCUCGGCAAAGCGCCGCAGGCACGGCGAGAGGGAGCCGGGUCCGAGGGUGAUGCGCUGUUUGCGAGGCUGCUGCAGGAAUGUGAUGCUUCUGUCAAUAAUGGGAGCGUUAAAAAAAAGAUGUGGAGAUGUUGGAGAUGCUCCAGAGGGGGCCACGAGGAUGCUCAGAGGGCUUCUGUGGAGACAGGCUGAGGGAGCUGGGGGUCUUCAGCCCGGAGAAGAGAAGGCUCCUGGGGCAACUUACAGCAGUCUUACAGUGCCUAAAAGGGGUUGCAGGAAAGCUGGAGAGGGAAUCUUUGUCAGGGAGCGUAGUGGUAGGACAGGGGGUAAUGGCUUUAAACUAAAAGAGGAUGCCACUGACGGAGGAGGGUGA
This 1186-nucleotide long non-coding RNA is filed under the name Anas platyrhynchos platyrhynchos (common mallard). RNAcentral's name for it is "lncRNA (ENSAPLG00000023259.1)". The record is from RNAcentral. Lineage: Eukaryota; Metazoa; Chordata; Aves; Anseriformes; Anatidae.